This 534-nucleotide long non-coding RNA is filed under the name Strigops habroptila (Kakapo). Its description in RNAcentral is "lncRNA (ENSSHBG00005005470.1)". The record is from RNAcentral. Lineage: Eukaryota; Metazoa; Chordata; Aves; Psittaciformes; Psittacidae.
ACCUGCCAAUAACUACUAUUCUUUGCAGCUGCAAACACCUUCAAAAUGAAAGCCAACUUCCAACCGAGCCUGAUGUUCUAACUCCAGAUUUAAGAUUGGAGUAGGGGAAACAGCUAUACAAUUGCCUUGUUCAUCUUGCUGCCGGUCUGAAUGGCUUUAUAAACCUUGGAGAUCAACCCCGACAUAAAAGAAUCUAGUUCAGCUUUAACAUAAGGGAACAUCCUGAUUUUUGAGUGGUUGGAGUCAGCAACGAAUAAAAGGUGUGAGAGGUUUUUUGGAAAACAGAAAAUUCACUGGAAGCAAAGGAAGUUUGGGGGAAGGUGUGGCAGCAUUCAGAACAACAACAAAAAUAAAAGGUAUCGAAGCAAAAUGGUCAUGCUACAGUAUUUUGCUUUGACCCAAACUUGUGCCUUUUGAGGAUGAACUGAGGAUGCUUCACAGCAGUGAGAUGGAGCAAGUUAACUGAAAAAGCUAUGGAAACACGAAGCCAUUUGACCAAGCUUCCCCCAGGGAGAGGCAGACCUCCAGCCGAGG